CUGGACGGUGGCCGGCGGAGGACAAGAGGCCUACGAGGCGGAAAGGUUUUUGCCCUGAGUGGGUCUUACCUAGUGUGUCUGCGAGUCCGGAACGGCGGGUCCGCAGGGACAUGGCGGCAGUCUCGGCGGUGCCGGUGCUGCUCUUGGCAGAGAGGAACCGGUGGCAGCGAAUCCCGUGCCUGCUGCUGCCGCCGAGGAGAUGGACUUGGAAGCAAAGAACCAUGAAGUAUGCAACAACCACAGGUCGAAACAUUACCAAGGUCCUCAUUGCAAACAGAGGAGAAAUUGCCUGCAGGGUGAUGCGAACAGCCAAAAAAAUGGGUAUACAGUCGGUGGCUGUUUAUAGUGAGGCCGACAGGAAUUCCAUGCAUGUAGAGAUGGCAGAUGAAGCAUACUUCAUCGGCCCUGCCCCCUCACAGCAGAGCUACCUCCACAUGGAGAAGAUCAUCCAAGCGGCCAAGAUCUCCGCUGCACAGGCUGUCCAUCCAGGAUAUGGUUUUCUCUCAGAAAAUGUGGACUUUGCUGAACUAUGUAAGCAAGAAGGAAUUAUUUUUAUAGGUCCUCCUUCAUCUGCAAUUAGAGACAUGGGUAUAAAGAGCACAUCCAAAUCCAUAAUGGCUGCCGCUGGAGUGCCAGUUGUGGAAGGUUACCACGGCAAGGACCAAGCCGACCAGUGCCUGAAAGAGCACGCUGGGAGGAUCGGUUAUCCCGUCAUGAUUAAAGCCAUCCGCGGUGGAGGAGGAAAAGGUAUGAGGAUCGUUAGAGCUGAGAAAGAAUUUCAAGAGCAGUUAGAGUCAGCAAGGAGAGAAGCUACAAAAUCUUUCAGUGAUGAUGCUAUGCUGAUUGAGAAGUUUGUGGACACGCCAAGGCAUGUAGAAGUCCAGGUGUUUGGUGACCACCAUGGCAAUGCUGUGUACUUGUUUGAAAGGGACUGUAGUGUACAAAGGAGACAUCAGAAGAUCAUUGAGGAGGCCCCAGGGCCUGGUAUUAAACCUGAAGUAAGAAAAAAGCUUGGAGAAGCUGCAGUGAGAGCUGCUAAAGCUGUAAACUAUGUUGGAGCAGGAACUGUGGAGUUUAUUAUGGACUCAAAACACAAUUUUUACUUCAUGGAGAUGAAUACAAGGCUGCAAGUGGAACAUCCUGUUACUGAGAUGAUCACAGGGACUGACUUGGUGGAGUGGCAGCUGAGGGUUGCAGCAGGAGAAAAGAUCCCUCUGAGCCAGGAAGAAAUAACUCUGCAGGGCCAUUCCUUUGAAGCUAGAAUAUAUGCAGAAGAUCCUAAUAAUAACUUCAUGCCAGGGGCUGGACCAUUAGUGCAUCUUUCUACCCCUCAAGCAGAUCUUUCCACUAGGAUUGAAACUGGGGUACGGCAAGGAGAUGAAGUCUCAGUGCACUAUGACCCCAUGAUCGCCAAGCUGGUCGUAUGGGCUGCUGAUCGCCAGGCGGCCUUGACGAAACUGCGGUACAGCCUUCGUCAGUACAACAUUGUUGGACUGCACACCAACAUUGACUUCCUCCUCAGCCUGGCUGGCCACCCAGAGUUUGAAGCGGGGAACGUGCACACUGAUUUCAUCCCUCAGCACCGCAGAGAACUCUUGCCUAGUCGGAGGGCUGCAGCCAAAGAGUUUUUAUGCCAAGCAGCUCUAGGUCUCAUCCUCAGGGAAAAGACUAUGACCGAUGUCUUCAAACUUCAGACACAAGAUCAUUAUUCUCCUUUUGCGUCCAGCAGUGGAAGAAGACUGAAUAUCUCUUACACCAGAAACAUCACUCUUAGGGAUGGCCAAAACAAUGUGGCCAUAGCUGUAACGUAUAACCAUGAUGGGUCAUACGGCAUGCAGAUUGAUGAUAAAGCUUUCCAAGUCCUUGGUGAUGUUUAUAAUGAGGGAAACUGUUCUUACCUGAAAUGUUCUGUUAAUGGAGUUGCUAGUAAAACUAAGCUAAUUAUCCUGGAAAACACUAUUUACCUAUUUUCCAUGGAAGGAAGUAUUCAGAUUGACAUUCCAGUCCCCAAAUACUUGUCUUCAGUGAGCUCCAAAGGAACUCAGGGGGGUGCCUUAGCUCCAAUGACUGGAACCAUUGAAAAGAACCUGACUGCACUGUGUGAUGAUUCCCAAACUCCUUGAUAAUCAUGUUAACCAAGAAGACAGUGACACCGUAUGAGGUUAUGAAUUCAUUUGUACAUGUAAAGAGAAAAACAGAUAUUUUUCUGAGGUUGCCAAUAAGUUUAAUUCUUUCACAUGAAGAUUGUCUGUGCACGUACUGCCCAGGGCCAUGAAGAUGUGGAGCACUAUCUUUACCUACAAAGGGAAACCAGGGAAGCCCCUCCACGCUGCCUGUGGUGGAGACAUUUAAUGAGAUGAAUCUUUCCUAUGGGUGGUAUGUCUUGUCUGUACAUUUUUGAAGGGAAAAAAAAAAGGAUCUCAAGAUACAAAAAGUGUACUUACCUGAUUCGAGGAAAACUAGAUGAUUUGGGCUGUGGGCAGCACCCCUCACUGACAGCAGUGCCAGGCCAACCUGUCAUUCUCCAGUGUGCAUCAGGACACCUGUCUUGGGCAGACAAGACAACCACGUACACUCAGACCUCCACUCUGUAUGUUCACAGAUCAACUCCGGACUGUGAAGGACCUCUGUGUUUCUAAAUAUUAACCUGUCUCUCUGAAUCUCUAGGUGUUUGUGAAAGCUGGAGACAAAGUAAAAGCUGGAGAUUCUCUAAUGGUUAUGAUCGCUAUGAAAAUGGAGCAUACCAUUAAGGCUCCAAAGAGUGGCACCAUCAAGAAAGUGUUCUACAAAGAAGGUUCUCAGGCCAACAGACACUCUCCUUUAGUCAAGUUUGAGGAGGAAGAAUCUGACAAAAGGGAGACAGAAUAAACUCCAUGAAAGGUGUGUCCAGUAAAGCAGUAACCUAUGAUAAUGUCCUUCACAAAAAGAGAAAGUGCCUCCUUGCUUUUCUCGGGGUCAAAUAAACAGCAGUUUAUGAUGAUUAUGUUGUUAUGCUAAAACACUUUCAUGUUCUUGUACUUGGAUCACAGAUACAACAAAUUAUCUGAAAAUAUUUCAUACUAAUAAAAUUGAAUUAUACUUUUUUA
Molecule: RNA transcript, 3086 nt
Organism: Manis pentadactyla (Chinese pangolin)
Lineage: Eukaryota; Metazoa; Chordata; Mammalia; Pholidota; Manidae
Gene: MCCC1
Gene name: methylcrotonyl-CoA carboxylase subunit 1
Exons: 19
Source: RefSeq, a predicted model, not a curated record